CCUGAGGCAGGAAAGGAGGAGACAACUGUGAUGUUUGCCUUUAUCAGUCAAGCAGCACCAGAUAUUAAGAGAAAAUUGCGAUCUAUAGAAAAGUUAGGAGAAAAGCACCUUAGGGACUUAGUGGCAGUGGCAGAGAAAGUUUACACCAAGAGAGAGAAUUCAGAGGACAAGGAGCUUAGAAAGGAAAAGAGACAGGAGGGCAGCCGGACUAAGGUCCUAGACCGGCAGCCGGCCCACCAACGAAAAGAACUGAAAGAAAUCCUCCUGGCCACGGGUGCGAGAAAGCCAUCUGGAGAGGACACCUUCUCACCCAGGCCCAGACAAUGAGGAGGACAAAAGGAGAGGAAAAGCUAUGGAUGCCAUCAAAGUUGAUCAAGGUCUGAUUUGAGCAGGAGAAACCUCUUGAUGAGGAGAAAUGAUAUAUCAUCCACCAAGGUGAAUCCCACAAGUUGCAAGGAGAUCUCACAAAGGUCGGGGAAGUGUUUUGUUCUUGUCUUUACAGAAAAACAGAAAAUACCCAUCUUCAAGAAGCCAAAAGACAUGCCUUUAAUCCCAGCCUGGUCUACAGAGCAAGUUCCAGGACAACCUCCAAAACAAUACAGAGAAACCCUGUCUUGAAAAACCAAAAAUCCAAAAGACAUCGGAUGUAUAGAUGCCUAAAGAAGAAGGGAGAUAGCUAUCCGGAAGUAACCAUAUGGCACUAUGGAGAAGAUGUACAACUAAGGUUUCUCUACAAUUUAACAUCAUUGGUACAGACAGGUAUGUUUUUGACUGGUCUGGAAAUCAGAUAGGAGGACCUGAGGAGAGCCCUCAAAGCGAUGAAGAUGAUUGGACUAAAGGUUUUGUAGCUGGUAUCUGGUGUUCUGGAACUGGAACAGCUCAGACAUACCUAUGGAAGUUGGUUACUGCGUUGGAUUUUGGGGGAAGGAAUGGAAAGGCCUCAGAGUUUUGGAGUUAUGUCUACCCUUCCCGUAUCUUGAUGCCCAUUAGAUGGAUCUGUUUUAGCUUGUGUUAAUCUACCAUAUGCUUUGUCAGUAGGAAAUGUAAACAUUUCUAUGGAGGAAUCCCUUUUUAAUGUAAGUUGUGAGAAGUGUGAUUUGACUAAUUGUGUAUCCAUUGUUACUAAUCAUACAGGAAUUACGGUGUUAAGACAGCUUUUCUUUGUUUAUGCUACCUGUGAAUGUGAGUGAUCCAUGGUUUGGUGAUAAAGGAUUACAAGUGCUUGAAGAAUUUAAGAAAGCUCUGAGUAGACCUCAGCAUAUGGUUGGAUUGUUUAUAGCAGGAAUUACAGCUCUUAUUGUUUGGAUUGCUAUAGCUACUGCUGCUUCAGUAGCCUCGUCUUAAUCUAUUCAGACCAAAGGGUAUGCUAACCAGUUGUCUCAGAAUGCCUCUUUAAUGUUGGGUGUAUGGGAAGAUAUAAAUGUAAAAAUGGAGCAUAAAUUGAAUGCUUUCUACAAAGUGAUACAAUUUUUGGGAGAUCGGCUUCCAAAGCCUGAAAAUUAGAAUGCAUUUAAACUGUCAUGCAGGCUGGGCGGUGAUGGUGCACACCUUUGAUCCCAGCAUUUGGGAGGCAGAGGCAGACAGAUCUCUGUGAGUUCAAGGCUAGCCUACUCUGCAAAGCAAGUUCCAGGACAGGCUCCAAAGAUACACAGAGAAACCUUGUCUCGAAAAACAAACAAAAAAUUGUCACACUAGUUAUGAAUGGAUUUGUGUUACAUCUUCCAUAUACAAUGGAAAUGUUAUUGGAUGGGAAAGAGUUCAAGUGCAUCUCAGAGGGAUCUGGCAUGAUGUUAAUGUAUCCUUAGCUUUGGCUAAGUUACACCAAGAGAUUAUGGAGAUAAAGAUGGCUAAAUUACAUAUUUUGGAGCAGUAUAAUAGGGCAUCAUUUACUUCACUUUUAAGUACUGUUACAGUUCUUGGAGCUUGUGUUCUAUCAGGCAUAAUCUGACUACUGUCUUCAAGCUGAUCAUGACCUCCUUAUGGAAAGUGGGAUCAGAACUUCACGGAGUACAAUUCCUCACACUCUCUGAAUUUAUGAUUCUAGAGGUUGGUAGUCAAAGACAGGUAAGUUUUCUUUGCCUCCUCUCAACCUAAGACAGCACAUGAAUGAUGGGAUUCAUGCUCCUAUGAUGAUUAAGACUGGAGAGCAAAAGGAACAACCUAAAACAGGUUCAGUCAUCUAAGAGACUCUUGGGAAUCUUAAAAAAUAAAAAGGGGGAAUUGUGAGAACCCACAGUGAUUCCAUUCUGAAUACAGAGCCCACCUGGACUUAAAGGUCAAGAGAGGUCAAGCUCAUUUGCUCUUUAAGUAUUGGGAGCCAGGAGAAUGUUUUGAUAAAGCCUUGGGGGCAAACACAGUUUUCUGCCAAGUGCAGGAUUCUAGGCUGCUGAUGCCAGCAGGAGGUAUGUUGUGAGCAAUAAUGAGACUGUCUUUUCCCUGACUCAAGGAUGGAGCAGGCAUUUGGUCUUCGUAAAGAGCAUCUACCUAUGCUAUGUGAGUGUCUGCAAGGCUCUGAGUGCAACUUCUGCAUCACUUCCUCUGCCUCAAAGUUGUAUAUGAGUAGGCUGAGAAAUACACUUGGGGCAUCAGUAUUGACUGACAGGCCUCCCAACU
Long non-coding RNA from Mesocricetus auratus (golden hamster), 2613 nucleotides. RefSeq lists it as uncharacterized. The transcript has 2 exons. The record is from RefSeq and is a predicted model, not a curated record. NCBI's taxonomy places the organism in Eukaryota, Metazoa, Chordata, Mammalia, Rodentia, Cricetidae.